UACAGAGGGGGCAAGCGUUGUUCGGAAUUACUGGGCGUAAAGGGCGCGUAGGCGGCCUUCUAAGUCGAACGUGAAAUCCCCGGGCUCAACCCGGGAACUGCGUCCGAUACUGGAAGGCUUGAAUCCGGGAGAGGGAUGCGGAAUUCCAGGUGUAGCGGUGAAAUGCGUAGAUAUCAAGUGGAACACCAGUGGCGAAGGCGAGUCCCUGGACAACUCCUGACACUGAGGCACGAAAGCUAGGGGAGCAAACAGG
Molecule: ribosomal RNA, 253 nt
Filed under: uncultured bacterium
Lineage: Bacteria
Description: partial 16S ribosomal RNA
Rfam family: Bacterial small subunit ribosomal RNA
Source: RNAcentral